GGAAAUUGCACUCUCAGUAACCCUAGAAGCUCCCGAGAACUCCCUUCUUUACUCUCUCACUCCACCAAAUAUCUUCCAUAUAUGUACAUAAACACACAGAAUAUGCAUAUUUAAUAUCUCUUUAUCUCUAUUCACAAGCAUAGGAUAUGGAGAUCACAGUCAUAUCAGCCCAGGGCCUCAAGAGCACAUCUUCAGGUCCUUUCUCCCACCGUCUCCGACCCUUCAUCACUAUCACCAGUUACCCAUCAAUUAACUCAUCAGGCAGCGAUGAUAAGAAGUGCAGAGUGUACAGUACAAGGAUUGAUGAUCAAGGAGG
RNAcentral lists this unclassified non-coding RNA (316 nucleotides) under Hevea brasiliensis (rubber tree). The record is from RNAcentral. Lineage: Eukaryota; Viridiplantae; Streptophyta; Magnoliopsida; Malpighiales; Euphorbiaceae.